AGUCACUGACACUAGAUACCCCUGUAGUCCAGGGUGUAAACGCUGCAGACUUGGUGUUGGGAACCCUUCGGGGGUGCUCAGUGCCGGAGAGAAGUUGUUAAGUCUGCUACUUGGGGAGUACGUCCGCAAGGAUGAAACUUAAAGGAAUUGGCGGGGGAGCACCGCAACGGGAGGAGCGUGCGGUUUAAUUGAAUUCAACGCCGAAAAACUCACCAGCAGCGACUGUUACAUGAAAGUCAGGUUGAUGACCUUACUAGAUUUUCAG
This 265-nucleotide ribosomal RNA is filed under the name uncultured archaeon. RNAcentral's name for it is "partial 16S ribosomal RNA". It matches the Rfam family "Archaeal small subunit ribosomal RNA", at positions 718 to 982 of the family's 1478-position model. The record is from RNAcentral.